This 303-nucleotide ribosomal RNA is filed under the name uncultured bacterium. Its description in RNAcentral is "partial 16S ribosomal RNA". It matches the Rfam family "Bacterial small subunit ribosomal RNA", at positions 507 to 807 of the family's 1533-position model. The record is from RNAcentral.
AGCAGCAGCCGCGGGAAUACGUAGGGCGCGAGCGUUAAUCGGAAUUACUGGGCGUAAAGCGUGCGCAGGCGGUUAUAUAAGACAGAUGUGAAAUCCCCGGGCUCAACCUGGGACCUGCAUUUGUGACUGUAUAGCUAGAGUACGGUAGAGGGGGAUGGAAUUCCGCGUGUAGCAGUGAAACGCGUAGAAAUGCGGGGGAACACUGAUGGCGAAGGCAAUCCCCUGGACCUGUACUGACGCUCAUGCACGAAAGCGUGGGGAGCAAACAGGAUUAGAUACCCGCGUAGUCCCUGUCUCUUAUAC